RNAcentral lists this ribosomal RNA (423 nucleotides) under uncultured bacterium. Its description in RNAcentral is "partial 16S ribosomal RNA". It matches the Rfam family "Bacterial small subunit ribosomal RNA", at positions 360 to 775 of the family's 1533-position model. The record is from RNAcentral.
AAUUUUGGACAAUGGGGGAAACCCUGAUCCAGCCAUCCCGCGUGUAUGAUGAAGGCCUUCGGGUUGUAAAGUACUUUUGGCAGAGAAGAAAAGGUACCUCCUAAUAUGAGGUACUGCUGACGGCAUCUGCAGAAUAAGCACCGGCUAACUACGUGCCAGACGCCGCGGUAAUACGUAGGGUCCAAGCGUUACACGGAAUCACUGGGCGUAAAGCGUGUGUAGGCGGUACGGAAAGAAAGAUGUGAAAUCCCAGGGCUCAACCUUGGAACUGCAUUUUUAACUGCCGAGCUAGAGUAUGUCAGAGGGGGGUAGAAUUCCACGUGUAGCAGUGAAAUGCGUAGAUAUGUGGAGGAAUACCGAUGGCGAAGGCAGCCCCCUGGGAUAAUACUGACGCUCAGACACGAAAGCGUGGGGAGCAAACAG